AUUAAAGAUUUCAAUUAAUUAAUUGCCAAACCAAACCUACAAUACUCUCUCUCUCUCUCUCUCUCUCUCUCUCUCUCUCUCUCUCUCUCUCUCUCUCUCUCUCUCUCUCUCUCUUCCAUCCUCCCACCCAUGUAGACACCCGAUCUACCCGAUUGCUUCAGCUGAUCCAGCCAUCGAGUUCGAUGUGCUCCCCUGCGCCUUAUGCUGAACUGCGGAUCGCUGUCAAACACCAUCUUGGUGGGGCAUGAGUCCGGCAUCCUCAUAACAUGUCCCAGCCAUUGUAUCCUGCCAGCCUUUGUCACCGUCAGGAUGCUCGGUUCGCUGUACAUGCUCGAACACACCACCAAAGAUGGCCCGGAUGCUGCGUCGCUCAAACACGCUCAGAGUGUUUGCAUCCUCCGUUCGAAUAGUCCAAGACUGGUGUCCAUAGAGGACCACCCGGCAAAUAAAUGUGCGAAAUAUUUCAGAUUUCGUGCUGGAUCUCAGCAGACAGUGAAGGCCAUAGUAUGCUCGAUUCCUGGUGCCGUUGUCCAAAGUAUCGACCUUCCAAGAUAGCAUAACACUUCUAUCUUCUAGCAGAACCUCGAGAUUGUCGCCGUCAACUAAUACACUGCUUCACAGAUGAUCUGAGUCUCCGGCAAGCAGAAAUCGUAGAAACCCCUAAGAGAAUCGUGCCACAGAUGUCGUUGUCUAGCCCCGCGCUUCGAAUGACACCUUCCAGGGCAAUUUUAAAAAGCAGACAGGAGAAUCCGUCACCUUGCCUCAGACCCCUGCCUACAACACACUUGUACACCAUAUAUACGAAAUAUAUAGCCAUGAGAAACUCCUCGAACUAAUGAUCAUGCUCAUGACCCUUCACAUAACACGUUCACUCUAUUGAAGGGAAAAAUGAAGUUUUCGUUGGAAUCGUUUCCGGAUAGCUCCAAAGUUUUUUGGUAUCGAUCCCAGAUAGUACGUUCGGAAGCGUUUCCGCAAUCGGUUUCGGAAUUGGAUCCGGAAUCGGCUUCGGAAUUGGCUUCGGAAUCGGCUCCGGAAUCGGCUUCGGAAUUGGCUUCGGAAUCGGCUCCGGAAUCGGCUCCGAAAUCGGCUCAGGAAUCGACUCAGGAAUUGGCUCCGGAAUCAGAAUUGGUUUCAUUAUCGGAAACGGGUCCGGAAUCGAAAUCGGCUCCGGAAUAGAAAUCGAUCCGCAAUAAGAAUCAGUUUCGGCUUCGAAAUCAGAAUUGGAUUUCAAAUUGGGUCCUGAAUCGAAAUCGGCUCUGGAAUCCUAAUAGGUUCAGAAAUCAGAAUCUGAUUCGAAAUCGGAGUCAGUUUCGGCAGCUCCAUAAGAAUAUAAGUUUGCGUCUAAUGAUGUAUUAAAGGCCGCAAAGAAUCCAAAUUUAUUUGUAAACGAUCCAUUCUCAUGGAGAUCCCAUGGAGACAGAUUUCGCUUCUGAAACUUCCUAUUUCAAUUCAAGAGCUGAUUCCCAUUCCUGACCUAAUUCCAAUACUGGUGUCAAUUCUGAUUCCCUUUCCGGAGCAAAUUGCGAUUCCCAGGUCGAUUCCAAUUCUGAUUCCAGCAUCGGAAUCAGCUCCGGAAUUGAUUCCGAACACGGAAUCAGAUUCGGAUAGGUCCGAUUCCAAGCUCCUACCACUAGUUCACUCAAGUGUUAGUCAGUUUAAAAGCAAACCAUUAAAAAACAAACAACCAUUAAAUUCCGUUCAGUAGCCCGUCCAGUCCGUGUUUUCUAGUAUUUGAUCUAGCAUCGUUACAGAUUUUCCAGCUUUAGUACCUUCGUAGACUUCGCCUACCGUCACCUGAUACAUGCUGCUUUCCAGCGUUCAUUUUCGUUGCUUGCACAAAUUAUUAAGAAAGAAAAAAAACUCGCUGUUCUGUAUUUGCAAUACAUUAUAUAUUUUGUAUUAUUACAAAAUCGGGCAGUUUACAAUGUUUCAGAUUUUAUCCUUCUUUUUUCUUAGUCUUGUUCAGUGCUGUGUUUUCAGUUCGCUAGGCAAGAGAUUUAAAAGAGACCUCUCCGAGACCUUAUGAUUAAAAAAAAAAAUAAACAAAAAACAAAAAGUCAUGAAUGUAACAAUCAUUUCUGGGGUUGAUGUUGGCAAAUGAAAGAAACAGAUUUGUACCAAGAAAAAAAAGUUUACAUAUAAAAUUACUGAACUUGCUCAAAAGCUCGUUGUAAAACAAAUUAUAAAAGAAACACACAUUCGUACCAAACCAAAAACAAACACAGAAAAAAGAUGAAAAAAAAUCCUCACACGAUACAACACCCUCCUCUCCCUCCCCAAGGGACAAACUUUAUUAUGGCGCCUGCCGCUCUCCUAGCAUGCCUGCACAGUCUUACCGCUAAACCUCACUCGCGCGACUCACUUUCGUGUGGACGUUAAUUUCUUGUUCGACAACUGCAGCAGGGUACACCAUCCGGGCGUUACCCCUCUCCCGUUCCCUACCGUCCCCAUCACAUGUUUCCUCCCCAGUCCGCUAGCUAGUGUUGUGAUGGGGGCCCUCCUAACGAGCUGGUUCUCUUAUAAAAUAAUAAUAUAAUAGUAGCAGUAGUAGUAGUAGUAGUAGUAGUAAUAGUAGUAGUAAUAAUAAUAAUAGUUUGAACUUGUUUUGACAAUCGAAUCAAUGUGUUAUCGGUGGAUUAAAGCUCAGAAGUGAACCAAAAUAAAAAAUGAGGGGAUGUGGGAGGGGAUCUAUCCAUAAGCACUAAACAAAAUCAUACAAAUCAUACACAUAUACACACAUCGUGUGUUUCAAAAGGGUGCGCGUUUAGUACUAAACGUACCAGACAAACACAAAGACACGUGCAUUAGCAGCCAAUUGGCCACCAGUCGGGUUUCUUUUCUCUUCUCUGCUGCCUCUCCCUAACACGUGUUUUAGCCAGUUUAGACUAAAACCACCCCAAAAAAGUAUUGUUACAGUGUUGUUAAUAGUUUGUUAACAUAAUGAGCGUAAUGGCGUGACUUGCAGCAGAAAAGCUGUGUGCUGUGGCAAACACAGAGGUACUUGUUGAAAAGAUGUGCUCUGGAUCACGCCUUCAAGCGGGGAGGGCUAAAAACAAAACAAAAAAACAGAUUUUGCAAACGGCGAAAGAUUUUCCUCCCGCGUAUGCUAGGAUGGUUAUACUUUUAAUGUUUGUAAAAAAAAAUACAAGAACUGUCAGGAAGCUUCGCUUAAAUAUCCGUUUGCUACAAUUGUACCACCAUUAUUACGUCGUUUGGAUGUAUGGGUGUAUGCGUGUGUAUGUGUGUUUAUAAAAGGUUGCAUUUUUAAGGUAGACAUUAACAUAAUCUGAUAUGCGCUAUCAUGCGGUGCACACGUGGUCGUCAUCAUUUCCCUCCCCUCACUGUUCACAUCAAAUGUACCGCUACACACACA
Anopheles gambiae (African malaria mosquito) is the source of this 3373-nucleotide long non-coding RNA. RefSeq lists it as uncharacterized. The transcript is spliced from 2 exons. The record is from RefSeq and is a predicted model, not a curated record. NCBI's taxonomy places the organism in Eukaryota, Metazoa, Arthropoda, Insecta, Diptera, Culicidae.